GAAAUGCGAUAAGUAAUGUGAAUUGCAGAAUUCAGUGAAUCAUCGAAUCUUUGAACGCACAUUGCGCCCGCCAGUAUUCUGGCGGGCAUGCCUGUUCGAGCGUCAUUUCAACCAUCAAGCCCCCGGCUUGUGUUGGGGACCUGCGGCUGCCCGAAGGCCCUGAAAAACAGUGGCGGGCUCGCUGUCACACCGAGCGUAGUAGCAUACAUUCUCGCUCAGGGCGUGCUGCGGGUUCCGGCCGUUAAACGACCUUCAUAACCCAAGGUUGACCUCGGAUCAGGUAGGAAGACCCGCUGAACUUAAGC
Molecule: unclassified non-coding RNA, 305 nt
Filed under: plant metagenome
Description: partial contains 5.8S ribosomal RNA, internal transcribed spacer 2, and large subunit ribosomal RNA
Rfam family: 5.8S ribosomal RNA (bases 1-105)
Source: RNAcentral